This 68-nucleotide transfer RNA is filed under the name Marmota monax (woodchuck). RNAcentral's name for it is "tRNA.Ala". Lineage: Eukaryota; Metazoa; Chordata; Mammalia; Rodentia; Sciuridae. The record is from RNAcentral.
GGAUUGUGGCUCAGUGGUACAGUGCUUGCCUAGCAUGCAUGAGGCACUGGGUUUGAUCCUCAGCACCA